UGUAAUCGGCCCCCGUGAACACCCAAUAUCUCAAAUCUCACUCAACGCUUCCCUUCAUGUCUACUCCUUCAACGAGCAUAAAAAGUUGGCUGGUAGAAAAUAUCACUGAAAACAAGUCAACUAAAUGCCAUUGGAUUACACAUGUGUGUACAUGUGUAUGUCUGACUAUAUAUUUAUACGUUCCACACAUGUACACUACAGAGAUACCCUGUUUUCUACAUUAUUUUCAACUUUUUUUCCUUUAUAUUUUACGCACAAUAUGUCGAAAUUCCAGAUAAUUGGUCAUUUAACGGUAUCAAUUUCCCCGUAUUUCCAGUCCAUCUAUGCCCAAUUUCUGUACACAUUCCGUUCUGGGUUGGAUUGAUUAACAAAUGAAAAGGAAUGCUGCCCUUUCUCACCUUCCACUCUACGUAUAUAUGUAUGUACAUAGUUGAUUCACCUCAUGGUUACUUAGCACAACAUGCCUAUUUAUGGUUCUUUGAAGAUGAUCAUAAAAAGUUUCUAUAUGAGUAUAAUAGUCAGUUUCAUGAUAAAUAAGUGCGAUCCAUACUACCCAAAACUAGCAUUUUAGCAGUAUCAACAGAGAAUGGAGCCAUAUCAUGCUAAAUAUGUAGGACAAACAACUAUGGAAAGAUGAAUAAGUCUUCAAUCUGAAGGUGGACAAGAGACAAAGUUUCAAAGUGUCUGAUUUGCUUGAUUCUUCUCUCACUUUCAAAACUCCUGUCCAAAUACGAUGAGAAUCUGAUCUUAUAUAAGUUUGGUGACUACUAUUUACAACUUGGGCACACAUUAUUCUGCCAUUACGUCUGGGAUUUACACGUUUGCCGAAUAUCUACGUGGGACGACACUGAAGGUUACUUAAGAACCGUUGACAGUUUUAGAUCUUAGCAAAAAUAACUUGAGAUAUGAAGAUCAUGAGAACAGCAGGAAACGAGGAACGUGAGGAGAAGCAGGAGGACGGGCGAGGAGGGCAAUAUAUGCGGCUACAUAUUUAAUACUUACACGUGGAGCAAUUUCCAGCAAACUCUGGGAUUUGAUUGCUGAGAAUUCGAUAUUAUGCGUGCUCAUUUUUCAACUAUUUUAUUGAUUCGAUCUCGAUUAACAUACAUAAAUAACUGUAGUUUGCAAGCACUGCACACAGCUAGUUAAUCGGUUCUGAAUUAAAAGUUUGCUUAUUUAUAUGUGUAAUGCAAGAAGAUUUACGCACUCACUCCUUCAAAUAAUUUGAGUAAGUGUAUCGCAUUAACCAUAAAAACUUUAUCGCAUCAUAUGAUUUACAAGUUUCGUUAAUUUAUUUAUUGGUUGUGAGUAUCGGCCCCAUUUUUUAUGGAAUUUGUGCAGCAAAUACACAUACCAACAAACAUGAUGCGAAUGACUAUUUGUAAGUCGGACAAAAUCAGGAUCGAUGACUACCACUCGUUGGGAACUCAAUUUGCCCAAUUCCUUAAUCCCAAGGAUUUCAAAGUUUUCUCGGCGUUUUUGGAUGAGUGAUGCAUUAGGGUUGAGUGCGAAGAGUUAUGACUAUCGCCUGGAUAUGCGAUCUGCGUGAGUUAUUGCAGUGGAAAAAUUGAGAUGCAGACAGUCACUGCUAUUUUGGAUCCCAGAUACGUUGCAUAAUGCUCGUUCUCACACUCUUGUUCGGACGAUGUUUGACUUGCCAGAUUGGAAAUUCAUUCGGUUUGAUUAACAUUUUAACCUACAAUUAUACUAUUUAAGGUGUAUUUUUGCAUGCAAAUUUGCGCCUAUGCGACCAUAACAGGAAAUUAGCACCAUCGAGUUGCACUAUGAAUGCACAUAUUUUGAGAUUUGAUCAUAUACUCUAAUUUGCAGCUAUACUAUUAAUCUUAAAUUGUCACAAUUUUAUCAGAUUUAUGCACUUUUAUUCCGAACGUAGAAAUACAUAGAUAUUAUGUAAAUAAAUAUGCUUGGAUAUCGGCUAAAAAA
Long non-coding RNA from Folsomia candida, 1944 nucleotides. RefSeq lists it as uncharacterized. The transcript is spliced from 4 exons. The record is from RefSeq and is a predicted model, not a curated record. Lineage: Eukaryota; Metazoa; Arthropoda; Collembola; Entomobryomorpha; Isotomidae.